AAGAAGUAGCUUUCAUUUCUGAUCAAAUGAAAAAUAAAAUAAAGUAGAUGAACCAAGUUCAGAACUGGCUUACGUCAUGUGCCUUCUGAAAAACCACUGUUAUUCUAACAUGGUAAUAUCUGAAAAGAAAAGACAAGUAGGCGUGGAAGAAGCAGCCACCCAGAUUCUAUUUCCUGGUCCUGGCCACCAGUCAGAGUAUUGUGCUGUGAUUGGGCAGAAUUGCCUCCUUGCCCAAGUGAGUGUGAGGACACAGGCCCAGAGGAGCCAGGAGGGAGAACCAGCCCCCAGGAAAGGAAACCUCUCACUUGCCAAGAUGGGUCAAGAACUAUCUGCAUUAAGUUUAUCUGUGGCAGCUCCUGGAGUUUCUGCAUCACUGAUAUGCUCAGGACCUGUCACGUGGCUUAUUGGGGCAGGGGUGAUUGUGGCUGUCACCGUCGUUGGUGCCGUCUAUGUGGUGAAGUACAUCAAAACGAAUACGAAGAACAGCAAUAAAAGAGACUAACAAGAUCCUAUCCUGGCCCCGGAGAAGUGAAGGCCACCCUCAGAAGAAAUGGAAUGUAAUGAAAUCUAAAUUUACAGCAAUAUAAAGUUAGAGAGCAAAAUAAGUAAAAAAUUAUGAUUGCAUUGCUACUGUGUGCCUGACUUUUUCCUAGGACCAGGCUCUGAAUUCCAGGAUUCUG
Molecule: long non-coding RNA, 680 nt
Filed under: Cavia porcellus (domestic guinea pig)
Lineage: Eukaryota; Metazoa; Chordata; Mammalia; Rodentia; Caviidae
Description: lncRNA (ENSCPOG00000039977.1)
Source: RNAcentral